UUAGGCCUACGGGACGCAGCAGUAGGGAAUCUUCCACAAUGGGCGAAAGCCUGAUGGAGCAACGCCGCGUGGGUGAAGAAGGUCUUCGGAUCGUAAAACCCUGUUGUUAGAGAAGAAAGUGCGUGAGAGUAACUGUUCACGUUUCGACGGUAUCUAACCAGAAAGCCACGGCUAACUACGUGCCAGCAGCCGCGGUAAUACGUAGGUGGCAAGCGUUAUCCGGAUUUAUUGGGCGUAAAGAGAGCGCAGGCGGUCUUUUUAGUCUGAUGUGAAAGCCUUCGGCUUCACC
RNAcentral lists this ribosomal RNA (289 nucleotides) under uncultured bacterium. RNAcentral's name for it is "partial 16S ribosomal RNA". It matches the Rfam family "Bacterial small subunit ribosomal RNA", at positions 333 to 614 of the family's 1533-position model. The record is from RNAcentral.